Molecule: ribosomal RNA, 506 nt
Filed under: uncultured bacterium
Lineage: Bacteria
Description: partial 16S ribosomal RNA
Rfam family: Bacterial small subunit ribosomal RNA
Source: RNAcentral
AUUGAACGCUGGCGGCAGGCCUAACACAUGCAAGUCGAACGGUAGCAGGAAGAAGCUUGCUUCUUUGCUGACGAGUGGCGGACGGGUGAGUAAUGUCUGGGAAACUGCCUGAUGGAGGGGGAUAACUACUGGAAACGGUAGCUAAUACCGCAUAACGUCGCAAGACCAAAGAGGGGGACCUUCGGGGCUCUUGCCAUCAGAUGUGCCCAGAUGGGAUUAGCUAGUAGGUGGGGUAACGGCUCACCUAGGCGCCGAUCCCUAGCUGGUCUGAGAGGAUGACCAGCCACACUGGCACUGAGACACGGUCCAGACUCCUACGGGAGGCAGCAGUGGGGAAUAUUGCACAAUGGGCGCAAGCCUGAUGCAGCCAUGCCGCGUGUGUGAAGAAGGCCUUCGGGUUGUAAAGCACUUUCAGCGGGGAGGAAGGGGGAAUGGUUAAUAACCAUUGUCAUUGACGUUACCCGCAGAAGAAGCACCGGCUAACUCCGUGCCAGCCGCCGCUGUAA